GAUUAUGAUUUCAGGUCUGACCUGCCCGCUGAUAUAAUUGAAUGGCCGCGGUAUAUUGACCGUGCAAAGGUAGCAUAGUCAUUAGUUUUUUAAUUGAAAGCUUGUAUGAAGGGUUUGAUGAAAAAGUUACUGUCUCUGAAGAAGUUAUUUAGAAUUUUAUUUUUAAGUGAGAAAGCUUAUAUUUUUAUAGAAGACGAGAAGACCCUAUAGAGUUUUAUAGGCAGUAUAGGGCUUGAAUGCGAAGAAUUAAUUUUAAGUGCUUUAUGAUCUAUUUUGUUGGGGUGAUUGGAAAAUUGAAUCAACUUUUCUUGAAUUGUGAUACAGAUGUGUAGGUAUUUGAUCCUUGUGUUGAGAUUAGAAGAAUAAAUWACCUUAGGGAUAACAGCGUAAUCUUUUUCAGAGUUCUUAUCGAAGAAAAGGGUUGCGACCUCGAUGUUGGAUUAAAAUUUACUUUUGGUGGAGAAGCCGAUAGGUUGGGUCUGUUCGACCUUUAAAAUUUUACAUGAUCUGAGUUUAAACC
Molecule: ribosomal RNA, 520 nt
Filed under: Trigonopterus tomohonensis
Lineage: Eukaryota; Metazoa; Arthropoda; Insecta; Coleoptera; Curculionidae
Description: partial large subunit ribosomal RNA
Source: RNAcentral